Molecule: ribosomal RNA, 537 nt
Filed under: uncultured bacterium
Lineage: Bacteria
Description: bacterial SSU rRNA
Rfam family: Bacterial small subunit ribosomal RNA
Source: RNAcentral
GGACGAAAGUCUGACGGAGCAACGCCGCGUGAGUGAUGAAGGUUUUCGGAUCGUAAAGCUCUGUUGUUAGGGAAGAACAAGUGCGAGAGUAACUGCUCGCACCUUGACGGUACCUAACCAGAAAGCCACGGCUAACUACGUGCCAGCAGCCGCGGUAAUACGUAGGUGGCAAGCGUUGUCCGGAAUUAUUGGGCGUAAAGGGCUCGCAGGCGGUUUCUUAAGUCUGAUGUGAAAGCCCCCGGCUCAACCGGGGAGGGUCAUUGGAAACUGGGAAACUUGAGUGCAGAAGAGGAGAGUGGAAUUCCACGUGUAGCGGUGAAAUGCGUAGAGAUGUGGAGGAACACCAGUGGCGAAGGCGACUCUCUGGUCUGUAACUGACGCUGAGGAGCGAAAGCGUGGGGAGCGAACAGGAUUAGAUACCCUGGUAGUCCACGCCGUAAACGAUGAGUGCUAAGUGUUAGGGGGUUUCCGCCCCUUAGUGCUGCAGCUAACGCAUUAAGCACUCCGCCUGGGGAGUACGGUCGCAAGACUGAAACU